GACAGAGGGUGCAAACGUUGUUCGGAAUUACUGGGCGUAAAGCGCGUGUAGGCGGCCCAGCAAGUCGGAUGUGAAAGCCCUGGGCUUAACCUAGGAAGUGCAUUCGAAACUGCUGGGCUUGAGUUCUGGAGAGGAAGGCGGAAUUCUCGGUGUAGAGGUGAAAUUCGUAGAUAUCGUAAGGAAGACCAGUGGCGAAGGCGAGUCUCUGGACAGUUACUGACACUGAGGCACGAAGGCCAGGGGAGCAAACGGG
This 253-nucleotide ribosomal RNA is filed under the name uncultured bacterium. Its description in RNAcentral is "partial 16S ribosomal RNA". It matches the Rfam family "Bacterial small subunit ribosomal RNA", at positions 524 to 776 of the family's 1533-position model. The record is from RNAcentral.